GCGGCGUACGGGUGCGGAACACGUGUAGCAACCUCCUUUAAUCUGGAGGAUAGCCUUUCGAAAGGAAGAUUAAUACUCCAUAAUAUAUUGAUUGGCAUCGAUUGAUAUUGAAAGCUCCGGCGGAUAGAGAUGGGGCACGCGCAAGAUUAGCUAAGUUGGUGAGGUAACGGCUCACCAAGGCGAUGAUCUUUAGGGGGCCUGAGAGGGUGAUCCCCCCACACUGGUACUGAGACACGGACCAGACUCCUACGGGAGGCAGCAGUGAGGAAUAUUGGUCAAUGGGUGCAAGCCUGAACCAGCCAUCCCGCGUGAAGGACGACUGCCCUAUGGGUUGUAAACUUCUUUUGUAUAGGGAUAAACCUACCCUCGUGAGGGUAGCUGAAGGUACUAUACGAAUAAGCACCGGCUAACUCCGUG
RNAcentral lists this ribosomal RNA (417 nucleotides) under uncultured bacterium. RNAcentral describes it as "bacterial SSU rRNA". It matches the Rfam family "Bacterial small subunit ribosomal RNA", at positions 95 to 507 of the family's 1533-position model. The record is from RNAcentral.